Molecule: long non-coding RNA, 16782 nt
Organism: Cavia porcellus (domestic guinea pig)
Lineage: Eukaryota; Metazoa; Chordata; Mammalia; Rodentia; Caviidae
Exons: 3
Source: RefSeq, a predicted model, not a curated record
CCCAGCCGAGGCUGCGCAGUGGGAGACAGCCCGGUCGCCUGCCGGCUGGUCUUGCUUCUGCAGGCCCCGGGGAGCCUGGCGUGGGGCCCAGCCCGGGGAGGAUUCAGCGAGGAUUUCUCACAGCACCCUCCCUCCAGCCCAUCCUCUGUGCAUCUUUUUCCUGCGUCUCUGUCCAAAUGGCAGACGGUCCAGAUCAGACCUCUGCGCCUCUGUGCAGAUCCUAGGUCUUCUUUCCUGAGUGUUUCUCCUUUCUGCAACCUGUCUGGCCCUGCAGGCUUCCGGAGCACCCUCUAAUCCUGUCCGGGGGAGGGAAUACCCUUCACUUUGUUGCUUUUCUUCUUCUUUUUAAAAUGACUUCAAUCAGUUGUGAAAGCUGAGUUUUGGCUCGUCUUUUGGACCGGUAGCUGCUGCUUCCAGCUGCCUCCCAGCUAGGCCAGCUGCUUUCCUGUGCCACCUCUGCAGAGCCCAGAGCUCCAUCUGUCUGCUCACCCCGCCUGGCCCUGCUGAGCUUCUGAGCUCCACUGUGGAACAGGAAGCUCCUGGCUCCUGGUGCUGGGCCUGAAAAGCCGAGGGAGGGUCAAGCCUUGGAAGACCCCGUACUGACUAUCAGAUGAGGCUUCACCAUGGUAACCCAGAUUGGCCUCAGCCUCCUAGGCUCAAGCGAUCCUCCUGGCUCGGUCUUCUGGGACUCCUUGGGACUCCAGUUAAAAGCACGAGGCCCAGAGUUAUUAAAGCACUUCCGCCAGAUCGUAUGGUCCACGAAGACAGAAGUUGCUCUCAGGCCCCCACGGUUGUUCCCUGAAAAGGCUCGUGCUCUGGAGUAGGAUCUGGACCACAGGACCUAUCCAGAGAGCUCUCUUCAGCCGACUCGGGACACGACCCAGGAAAAUUUGGCUAACUUGAUUGCAGGUGUUUUGUGGGCUGGACUUUGAGAAACCUUGUGCUAGAAUCUCCUGCUCCAAUACUGAAUAUUUACCUCUUCCUCGGGGUGAGCAGUGUUGGUACACAUCCUGCCCCGGGAGUGUUUACUCCGCCAACUCAUCAGCGUGGAACAGGACGCUUCAUUUUUUUCUUCCUUAUAAAUCAUAAUUCUGUUUUAUUUACCUUACCUUCUUGCCUUAUUUUAAAAGUUUUAUUUAUUUUACAUUGACCAGUAGUCUGUGUAUUUAUGCGAUGUUCCGCUCAAUUCAUGGCCUGUGUCAUGUCUGGUGAGUUCUCACAAUAUUUCAGGUUUUCAUUGUCACUGUCACUGCGGUGGUGACCUGUGGCCGGGGGUUUUGCUGCUGCUGCUGUGGGGCUGAGGACUUUGUCCCUACAGAAAGGAGAAAUGUGUGCGUUCUCACCUCUCCACUGACCAGCGCUUCCUGCCCCCUCCCUUUCCUGGGCCUCCUUAUUUCCUGAGAAUACGGUAUUUAACUGAGGUCAGCUACUAACCUUGCAGUGGCCCUUAAGUGUCUAAGUGGAAAGAAAAGCCCCCAUCUCUCCAUAUCCUAAAUCAAAUAUAGACCUGAUGAAGCUUUGAGGAAGGCCUCUCAGAAGCUCACACAGGCUGGAAGCUAGGCCACUUGUGCUAAUCAGGUAGCCAAACUGUGAACAGAAGGAAAGUUGCUUGAAAAAAAUAAGCAAUGAUAUUCCUGUGAACCUACGGAUGACAGGAAUGUGACACAGCCUUUGUUACUGCCGUGGAGGGAGGGGCAGUGGUCUGGAUUGAAGACCAAAGGAGUGGAGGUCUGAGCCAGAGCCAGACCCCAGCUGUCUUCAGUUCUACAAAGGCCGAGGGUCCCGGCAGCUCCGGAGGGAGAGUCUGAGGAUGGUAGAGGUUGGAUCAAAAGACUUCAGGAAAGACGCGGUCUCUGUAAUCUGUCUGCAUAGACUGAAGCACGUGCUGAUGUAGAAGCUGUGGAAAGUUAUGCAGGAGGCUGAGCUGGGAUCCUUGAUGGAGGAAGCCAUGCAGAUUUUCAGGGCAGCUGAAAAGACUUUAUGUCUGCAGUCAUCACCACUGUGGACACGCCCAAUGUCCUUGAAAAGAAGAUUGUUCUAGACCUUCCCUAGCUUGAUAGAAGUCAUUGCUUGGUUUCUAGGCCUCAAAGGACUAGCUGACUCUUUUGUUAGGGGCUGCUGUAGCUGGUGAUUUCAAUUGAAACUGCUUUUCUACCCUGAAAAUCCUAGGGCCUUUAAGACUUUUCCUGAAUCUGCUCUGCCUGUGCUCAGACCUACAACUGGAAAAAUCAAGGCCGGAUGACAGCAGGCUUGUCUAUCAUGAGUCACUGAAUAUUUUGUGCCCACUAGGGAGAUCUGCUAAAGAUCUCGUAAAGAGAGAUUCCUUUCAAACGUUACUUCUCAGAGGCAAUGAGCUUGGUCAUCCAAGAGCUCUGAUGAAUGUGUACAAGAUUAGUGUUUCCAUGUCUACUAAUGCAACAUUCAUUUUCAAACUUUGGACCAAGGAGGAUUUUGACUUUGCAGUGUUUUUCUUUCCUUUGGGUUCCGCCAUGCUGUACAAGCUGACCUUGAAAUCACUGUCUAGCUCAGACUGACCUCAGGCUCACAGUGAUCCUCCUGCCUCUGCCUGCCAGCGCUAGGAUCACAGGUGUGCACUACCAUGCCUGGCUGUAGUAUUGCUUAAAAAUCACCUUUCCUAAGAUCUCUGACAGACUGCAGGGAAGUACACCUUGUGGAGAGGAUUCACCAUCAUAGACCUCAUUAAGAACAGUCAUGAUUCAGGGGUGGAAGUCAAGAUACCAAUAUGAACAGGGAUUUGGAGGAAUUGGAUUCCAGUCUUUGUGGAUUGCUUCAAGGAGUUCAGGACCUCAGGGCAGGAAGGAACUGUAGACGUGGUGCAAAUAGCAAGAGAACUAGAAUUAGGGACAGCCCGAAGAUUGCUGAAUUCUAAAACCUCAGGAUGAAGCUUUAAUGCGUGAGGGGUUGCUUCUAGUAGAGGAGCCAGGGACAUAUUCUCUGGAGCCGGAAUUCACUUGUGGUGAGGAUGCUGUGGACGUUGGUGAAGAUACAGCAAAGGAGUUAGAGAAGUGGAUAUAGCAGCAGCAGAAGGAGCACUGACACCAGCUUUGCAAGAAGUCUACCGUGGGCCAAGUGCUGUCAGACGCAUUUGCACCCACGGGGAAAGCUUUUGUGAGUGCUCGAGGCCACUAGGGCAGCAAACUUCACCGUGACCUUAAGAAAUCGCUGCAACCACCCUCCACUCCGGCGCCCACCACGACGCAGACCAAGGAGCAGAUCUCAAGAGCUAAGAAAAUUAGGACCUCCACUGAAGACCGGGAUUCAGCGAAUGCUCAGGUGAUUUUUAGCGAUUUCCUGUAUUCCUUCCAAGUGGUUUCUAAUCAGUGCCUGCCUGUGAUACACACUAGCGACAUUCUCUGUGAAGGGUCGGUAUGUACACAUGCCACAUCUCACUUACUUUCACGUCCCCCCCUUCCCUUGGCCCCCUUCUCAUCUGCAAAAUUCUAUCUCCCAGCUCCUAUUAUCUGUCCUUUGAUUUGCUCUUUCAUUUAUCUCCAUUUGGAUGUGAUAUGAAGGGAAACCGUGUAAUAUUUAAAGGCGUGUGACUUUUUAAAAGCAAUAGCACUUAAAAAUUAGGGUUUGUACACUUUAGACAUAACGUUGUACACUUACUAAACUAUGGUGUAGUACAAAUACAACUUUUGUCUGCACUGGGAAACCACGAAAUGUGUAUACUCGCUUUCCUGUGGCAUUUGGUUCAUUGCGGUAAUCUGGAAUUGAAUCCACAGUAGCUCCGGGUUAUCUCUGUGGCACAUUAUGAAGAGACUAAAUCACGUGAAUUUACAUAGAUGUCACUUCAUACUGUUUGUAGGGAGGUCAUUUAAAUUCUACUUUCUUUAAAAUUUUAAAGAUGAACCCAUAAUUACUCACCAUGCUCAGCGUGCUGUGUAGCAGAUCCCUGGAGCUGAACUAAAAACUUAUUCCCUUUGACCAACGUCACUUAUGUCUCCCCUUUCUGCAUCUGUAAGUUAGACUCUUCUAGAUCCCAUGUACACGUGACAUCAUGCAUUAUUUGUCUUUCUGUGGCUGGCUUAUUUCACCCAGUACAAUGUCCUCCAGGUUUAUCCAUAUUGUCCACGGUGAUGUAUUUUCUGUUUGCUUUGACAAGAGGAGACCCAUUUGUUUCAUCCUAAAGACUCCCGGAAAGCCUCGACUAUGGAGUUAAGGAGCAGAGCCCAGCUCCCCUUCACACCAUCCGAGUCACAAUCUGUUCUUCACAAGGACGGUGCUUCCCACCCUGGCUCUGGAGCUGUAACUGAAACAGUGUUCUGAGAGUAUGGCAAGCAUUGGUUCCAUGCUGAGUUCCUGUAGCUUGGCUGAGGCUGGAUCUGUAUGUGCUUUGAAGAGUCUGGAUUGCUGCUGAUUUCCCUGCUAGGUGUGACAGGGUGUGACACGGGUCAGUGAGGGACUGGGCGCUUCUGCUGAUCACUGGUCGCAGAUCCAGGCUGCAGGUGCCGAGAGCAGACUCAAUGGACUGUGGACCUACAUGUGCAAAACCACAUAAGGACUCCAUUUAGGACCAUUCCUCAGGCAUUAAUUGAGGGUCAGGGCAUUAAUUGAGGGACAAGGCCUUUCCUAUGCUGAGAUCCACCACAGAGUGCAAAGCUAUGAGUGUUGUUCUCAGUUUCUAACAAUGAGCAAAGUUUACCCUGUUAGGUUUCAGACUUGCUAGGGACCUGGGACCCUUUUUCCAUCAAAUUCUCCCUUUUGAAGUAAGGAGACAGAGAUAGGAUAGACAUUCCUAUUCCAGAAGCAGAGAGUUUGUCUAGCACCACAGGUUCAUAGAUGGAGAGGAAUUUUGCCCAAGGGUGAGUCAUAUCCUGAGUCUUGCCUGUAUCUAAUUUAAAGACUAUUUGGAUGCGAUUUUGGACUAAGAGCUGAUGUUGGAAAAGUUGAGGCAGCUGGGGAUGUUGGGACGGGAUGACUGUGUUUUGCCUGAGAUAAGGGCAUGCAUCUUAGAGGGUCAAACAGUUAAUUACAUUUUGAUGUGCUAACCCCUAAUACCGAGUAUGACCUUAUUUGGAAAUAGGAUAGCUGUAAAUGGAAUUAGGGAAGAUGAAGUCAUCCUGAGUAGGAUGGGCCCUAAUCCAAGGUGACUGAUGUCCUUGGACAAGGAGGAAGUUUGGACAUUGACUUGCACACAGGGAGGACAGUAUGCAAAGAUGAAGGCGGCGAUAAGACCAAAGUAUCUCCGGGCUGGGGAACGCCAAAGAUGGCCAGCAAACCGCACGGGCUAGGAGGGCACCGUGAAGGAGAGUCUCCCUUCCCUGCCCUCCUGACACCUCGAGCUCAGAUUUUCAGCCUUCAGAGUGUGGGAAAAUAGAUUUCUGUUGUGUAAGCCCCCACAUGUGUGAGAUUUUGUCAUGGCGGCUCUGAGAGACUAACAUGGAUUUAGUUAGGAAUUAAAGCUUCCUGGAUGCAAAACUUCUGAGCUACCUUUAUCUCUAUCCCUAAUCAUUUAAUGACUCUAUUUUGAGAAAAUUAUGAUUCAGAAAAAGAUAGCAUGGAGUUAGAGUUUAAUACCGGAAUGUCCACGAGGGUUAGUGUCUGCAGGGCCUUUCUUUGCAGCCAUAGCAUGGAGGGGUGCAGCUCAGAACCCACCCCCACUGCGAGCCUGGGGGAUAGUACGGUGCAUGUGCUGUGGCCUGUAAUAGAGUCAGUUGAAAAACAAAAAUGGCCCUUGAAUGUGAUGAAUUUCUUAGUGAUCUCUCCAGAAGUCCACUUAGUGAUGUUCUCUUGUUAAUGAUGCCAUUUUGUCUCAUCCUCUGUCUGGGGCAAGCCAGGAGUCAGGAAGGGAAGACUUCAUUUCCCUGGUUCCCAGGGGCCAGGUAAGUUUUCAUUGCCACCAUCUGCCUUUUGAAGACAGCAGAUGAGUGGAGAGCUGAAGAUUCUUCAUGUCAGAGAUGUGAAGUUUGUGCCAUACACUGCCACCUGAUAGGAUUUCAUCCAGUAACUGUUUCUUUCUUUGAUCAAAAGGCAUAUUUCUAAGGUAAGGUGUGUGGAAUAACAAUAUGCCCAGACCAGUUAUAGAGCCACUCCAAAUCUUUGCAAAUAUUAAGGAAAGUGUGUUGGGUUGUAUUAAAGCAACUAUGUGGUUGGUAUCGGGAUCUUCGACAAGGGAAAUGUGGGCAUGGAGCCCCGUCAGACUCCUCUGUACAAGCCGCUGACCCUCACUAGGCAGGAAUGCACCCUGGUUGUCCAGGGCCUGGAAACCCUUGCACCAUUGCUCAGGAUGCCACCAUCAGCAUCAGCUCGCCUUUGUCUCAGUGAAGACACAGAGUCAGACAGAGUAAGUAUCAGAUACGGGAGUUUACAAACCCAAAGCUCUCAGAGACGGAAGGUGCUAAACCUCUGUUUCCAGGCAGGAAGUGUACAGCUGGGGCUGUGUUCAGUUCUCCAUCCUGACCACUUUCCAGACAGAAUUCCUAGCUCCUAGUCGUCAGGAUGCACGGGCACGGCCUACUGAGAGCUUUCCACAUGAGUGAAUGAAGUUAUUUGCUUUCUGAGGCUUAGCACUGCCUCAGAUGCUCAUGUGCUGCAUCCCUGGCCUUGGCGGACUGAUUUGUCUGCCCAGAGUGUGGUUAAUGUUUUAUCCCGGUGGAAAAUGGUUAAGGCUUCCCUCGCCAAUAAAGGCAGCAGGGUGGGGUGUUGGCAGAGGAGGGAGAGCAGUCAGCAGCAGUGGAGAAGGUGGUUUCUUGUGGGGGAGAGGACUUAGAUGUGUGUGACUUAGAUCUGUGCAUUCAGAUGUAAAGUGCUCUUAGGAUCUGUGAGGUUUGUAAUUCUUCAGGACAGGUUUCAUCCCCACAACCUCCUGGUUCAGCCAGGAGACAGAAAUCCUUCAAGAUGUCUUCAACAGAAAGCAUUUAAUACAGGGAACUGGUUACAUGGGAAGAGAUGAGAAGCUACGCAAGCGAUGAUUACUGCAGCAGGAGGCUGCCAGCUUUAGGAUCAGAGACACUGAUAUGACCCAGAGCCCAGGAGCUGGGCACUGGGUGGAAAUGAGAACCAGACUAUUGGUUAGAAGCUAGGCACCCCCACCAUGCCACCACAGGAGAAGGAGCCACUUUCCAGGGUGCCGCCUGAUGAAAGUGGCCAAUUCCCACUGAUGUGUACUCGGAAGCCACUCAGCAAGGGAACCCAAGAAGAGGAAUCAAGAAAAAGGGCUCAGAGAGGCCUGAGAGCAGAAGGCAAGUGGCCAGCAUGGCCGUGAUGGAGGAGCACAUUGGCAGACACCUUGAGGAAGUGUCUCUGAAUGUGCAUGCUGGCGCUGGGAGUCAGACACAUGCAUUUGCUGGCCAACAUCACACCAGGGCAGAGCCAGCACUUCAGCCUGGGUUAUCUGGCUCAGUUCUCUAAUACCCAGGUAAAGAAUGGGCUCUGGCCUUUGGAGGAAGAGGUUUUCUGGGGAUGCUUGGGUAGAGAGGAGAAGAGUCGACAGACUGGACAGGUGAUGGUUUAUGAGGUGGCUGAUUAGUCCAACGUGAGCUUUAGAGACUCUAGCCUACCUGAGGCCAGCUCAGUGCCCAGAUUACAGGGAAAGAAGAGCCUGUCCCUUUCAGUGCCUUUUCAGUGAUUUGGUGACUAUAUGAGUCUUAUGGUCUGGAUCAAAAUUAAAAAGGCAACUCUCAGUGGAAGGAGGCCUUGUUGACAGGCCAGAGUGAGAGAAUAGGGUUGGAGGAGCUGUCUGUUUAGCAAGUAUUUCACCCAAUUUAGAUUCCCAGUGGCAGAAUUUUAGGAGCAGCUGCAUGAAAAGUGAGAAAAGUGAUUUUAGCCAUGGUUUGGGUGGUUGGUAGGAUUAGAGAGUGGGGCAGUGUUUUGGUUUGAGUCUGGAUGUCCCCCCAAAGCCUCAUGCAGUUAUAGAAACAGGCUGCUAGGAUCUGUGACUGAUUCAUGGUCCAGUGCUGCGAUUAUGGGUGUGGGUUCCACACCCCAGUGGAUGUGGCCUAUAGACAAUAUAAGGGACUCUCUAUGCUCUUCCCAUUUUGCUCUUGUUGCUUGUGCUGUUUUCUGCUUCCAUGAGCUGUUGCCCUCUGCCAUGUGCCACUCUGCCUUGGAGCCAGCUGAAUAUGGACUGAAACCUCCACAAACUGUGAGCUAAAUAAACCUUUCCUUCAUUCACUUUGGGUGUUGGGUAUUUUGUCCCAGCAGUGAUGGAAAAGUAACCAAGACAGGCAACUUCCAAGCCAAAUUGAGAUUUCAAAGCAGAAGCAGUAGCCUGCAGAUAUGUCCCUGCGCCCACACUAUUUGCCAGGCAGCCAGCAACAUCCUGGGAAAGCGGAAGCGAGGUCGUCCCCCAAAUCCAGCAAGGCCGUCCAUUGUGACUCACAGGGCUCUGUGGAGUUUGGAAUGGAGUUUUGUGUCACAGCAGUGUUUUCGAGUUAGUUGCCUAACCUAGGUGAUGGGUGUACAGAAUACAGGGGAGAGUUUGGACUCGGGCAGCAGAGCCAUACGUAUUGCAACAUGAUCAGUUUAUGCACAGCACUGCUGAUUGGUCACAAGUUUGCCAAAAAUGUUUCCAGACGUCACUAACAGGUUAAUCCAGGCACUCAUUGGGUGAGACAUAAUUUCCAAAAGGCUAUGAGUGCUCCAUGUUUUCUCUAGACUCCAUCAUGUCAUCACCAGGUGAUGGAAGCUACAUUUCCGAGCCUUCAGAUUUCCCCUCUCCUUUUGUUAGUGGCUUCUGGAAAGAUGCAUUUUGUUCUUCCAAUGGCAUCUAAGCUAUCAUGCCUCAUGCUCAAACCCCCUCCAAAGGUGCUUUGCAAACUCUUCCAAGCUAAUUGAGAUUUCAAAGCAGAAGCGGUAGGCCUGCAGAUAUGUCACUGCUAACAUGGCUGCUAACAUGGAUGAUAAGAAACCUUGCUUUAAGGAUGCCAAACUGAAUGCAAAACCAUUUUCUUAAAAUAAAUGAUCAUGAUCAAAAGAAAAGGGAAAAUUAAAAAUGGUACUUUGACUUCAUAUUUCUUGCUAUCACAACCUGUAUUCUGUAUUUCCUGAUGCCCAGGGCUUUGAGCAUCGAGGUUCUUUAUCUGACCCUGGAUAAGGGCCACCCAUUUUGGCUCUGAAUGGCCCAGCCUGGCAUUUGAUGAUCUCAUUCCACUGGCAAGUUUGAUCCAAAGAGAGCACUUCAUUAAUUACACUCAGCACAAGUACCUGGGAAUCUGCCUCUGUGCUUGGAGAAUAACCUCACUUCAUAAAUAAUCCAAUUUAUUUAGCACAGUGUACUCAUGACCUUCAAGAAAAUGCCAGACACUGAUGGGACCAAUUGCUGUCCUGGAAGGCAGGGUGGGUGCGACAGGGAAGGAAGGCAGCACUUGUUUUGUUUAUGGGAAGGCAACCACGCAGCUCUGCUGGCGCCUGCACCUCACUGUGUAGGAAACCGGGAUUCUGCAGCUUUGCCCCAGCAGAAGGAGCUCUAUUGAGUCCUGAGUUGUGAUAGUUCCAGAGAAAACCCAGGUUUUAUCUCUGUAGCCAUAGGAAUAACCAAGGGGGUCACCCUUGGUGCUGUAGCCCCACUAUUGGGUCUCUGUGCUCAUUCAUUCAAUGACUGUUUAACUUUGCCUCCUCCAGCCAAUAUCAGUGUCAGGUGCCAGAGACACAUGACAAGAAGGCCCUUUAAUAAGUGCAUGAUUACAGAAUCAAUGGCAGGACCGGGGAGCUCACAGCAUUUUUUGAGAAAAUAGAAGAUGAAUAUUUGCUGGAGGUGGUACUUGGAUGUUAUGCUCCUUCUUUAGGAUUCCACUGCUGCUGUAUUUGUGCACAGGAAGUCCUGACUGUGGCUUUUGUUGGGAGGGGGGACAUUAUCCUAGAGUUUCCUUCUCUUUCUCAAGCUUUUUUCUGUCUGUGUCUUGUCAAUUUUGUCAGUCUUUCUACACCAGGAGUCUACGAACUGAACAUUUUCUCAAAGUCAGUGCACAGAAUGAGAGACUAAGCCAGGGGCACCUCCUGGGGUUCUGAGGGGCCAGGAGAGGGCAGUGUCCGAAGAAGAUCCGAGCCUAGGUGGACACCAGAAUCCCGGCCAAGUAGGGUAGAAACAGAGCAUGGGAAUGGUGUGAACCAGAGGAUGACUGGUGGGGAGACUCCCCGGAAACCCAGGAGGCCGGCAGAGGGGAGAAGAGCACAAACGGUGGAGAAAUGCCCACCCCAGGAAGACUUUCUGGACACUGUGGCAGCCUCCUGUCGACCUCAACCACCCUCCCACAUGCUGCAAGAGUGACGCUCAGCAAGGGCUUCACUUAUGACCUGCAAGUGAAGUCAGGGAAGGAUAUGUUAUGUUAGGAGCCAUUGGUUUGAGGAGCCCAGAGCCGAGGUUUUCCCUGUGCAGAAGUCCAGAACCUGAGCACAUUGCUAGGACUCCGGCCAGCUGGUGAAACUUUCUUGCUCUGGGAUUUCUGCUGGCUAGAGGCUGUGGAAGAAGGACCGUGAGGAGCCUCUCAAGCCACACAAUGCCAGAGGCAUGCCUGGGGCCAGCCUAGACACCGUCUCUGCAGACCACCUCGUGGGACCGGGGAACUCCAGCCAGAGCUCCCACCUUUCCUCCCAGAACCUUGGACUACAGUGGAUUAACUGUGCUAGCUUGAAGAGAGAUUUAGAACGCCUCACCCAAACAGAAGAUCUCAGCAGGCUCUAGUCAGUGUGGCGAGUAUGCCUCUAACAUAGAGGUGUACAGUAGGUAAAUACGCCAGUAGUAAAGCUCCCUCCAACUAACUGUAAGACCUUGCUGAGUCUGACAAGAGUGUGAAUGACUUCUUCCUGCACACAGAAAACAUGAGGAAUGUGCCAAUAAGGACUCCCCCAAAUUGGAGAAAAUCAAAAGGGCUUAUGAGAUACACAGGCACACAAAAGGGACACAGUAGGGCCUCUGCUGACACAAAUAAUACAGACAAGGAGAUUUGGUGACCUGGAAUAACCUGAAGAUAAAGAAAUAGCAGAAACUACAAGUUGACCUACAUCAUUACUACCAGGCUUGACUGCCCAGGAAGAAUACUGGACUCACCCAACAGGUCCUGCAGUGGGGAGUCAGAUGAUUGGCCCAUUUAUUCAUUGUGGGACCCAGCAUUGGACAAACAUCAACCUUACAUUAGGACCUCAAGAUACACAUUACCAAUAGUUGACUCUAGUGGGACUGAAGGACCAAAUACUGACUCAAAGAGGGAAAACAGCAAAAUGAAAAAGCAAAAUGCAAUCUCAAACAUCUAGUCCACCAGGAGCAAGUACAGGACACACUGAAAUAGAGGAGUUCAAAAGUAACACAUCAGAAAUCUCUGAGAAGAUAGUGAGUGAAAUAAAAAAACAACUUCAUGAGGCUAUAGAGGAAAUCAAAUUAGAAGUACUCUCCCAUGUAAAGAAAUAGCAACCUUAGUAAAGGAGUUGCUGAGCACAGCUAAAGAAGAAAUAGAGAAAAAAGUACAGGAGCAGGGGAAACUGAUUGAAACCUUGAAUGAAUGAUAUAGAAAACAAACAGAAUUCAUGAAACAAACUCAAAGAGACAUCCAAGAAACAAAAAAUUCUAUUCAAAGCUGGCAAAACCGUUUAAAUGAGGCUGGCUGAGGAUAGGAUUUCGGACCUUGAGGACAGGAUCACAAUUAGUGAUCAUGAAAGGGUAGAACUUUUAAAAAUAACAAAGCAGCAUGAAAUAACAAUCCAGCAGCUUCAAGAUGAUGCCAAGAGAAAAAAUAUAGGAUUAAUAGGCAUUAGUGAAGAUGCAGUAGUCAAUGCAAAUGACAUAAUCAAAAUAUUCACAGAAGUAAUAGAAGAAAAUUUUCCAAACAUGGAGAAAAAUCUGAUAUGCAGAUAGGUGAGGCAUAUAGAAUGCCAAGCAGUCACAAGCAACAUAAAUCUACACACAGACAUAUAAUAAUUAAGGUCUCAGACAUACAGCAUAAAAACAGAAUAUUAAAAGCUGUUAGAGAAAAGACACAGCUCACCUACCAAGGAAAGCCCCUUAGAAUAAUGACAGGCUUUUCAGCACAAACCUUCAAGUCAAGAGGAACUUGGAGUGAGGUAUUUCAAGCCCUGAAAGAAAACAACUUUCAACCCAGACAAACUUUCAUUCAUAUUUAAUGGAGAAACAAAAUACCUCCAUGACAAAGAAGAACUGAAGAAAUUCACAUCCAGCAAGUCAAUCCUAGAAAGAGUAUUGAAAGAAAUACUAGCUAGAGAUAAAAGUGACCACAAUCCCCAGAACAACAACAGGAAGAAACCACCAGGUAGGACAAACAAUUAAACAAUGAGGAAAAACAGAAAGCAAAGAACUGGAACAUAACAUGGCAAAGUGGAGCCAGUACAUAUCAGUUAUAUCCAUAAAUGUAAAUGGCCUCAAUUCACCUAUCGAAAGAAAUAGGUUGACAGAAUGUAUCAAGAAACAGAAUCCCACAAUAUGCUGUAUACAAGAAAUACAUCUGACCUAAAAGGAAACUCGUAGAUUAAAAGUCAAAGGAUGGAAAACAGUGUUCCGUGCAAUAAGAACCUAGAAAAAAAGCAGGGGUAACUAUUCUAUUUUCAGACAGUGUGAACUUCAAACCUAAAAUGGCUAAAAGACAUAAAGAAGGUCACUACAUACUUGUUAGUGGAAAAAUUCAAGAGGAUGAACUAACAAUUUUAAAUAUAUUGCACCAAAUACAGGAGCACCCAACUAUACAAGACAAAUACUAACGGACAUGAAAAACCAAAUACAUAAGAACACAAUUACAACAGGGGACCUUAACAGCCCAUUGUCACAAAGAGAUAGAUCAAAUAGACAAAAAGUUAACAAAGAAAUAAUAGAACUGAAUCAUACUUGCAAGCAAUUGGACUUAGUAGAUGUUUACAGAGUGUUCCACCCAACCAUGUCAGAAUACACAUUCUUCUCAGCUGUGCAUGGGACAUUCUCCAAACUAGACCAUAUAUUAUCCCAUAAAACAUUCUUAAGUAAAUGCAAAGGUAUUGAAAUUAUCCCAUGCAUACUAUCUGACCAUAGCGCACUGAAAUUGGAAAUUAAUGGCAAAAAUUGCAAAACCUGCAUAAAUACAUGGCAAUUAAAUAACAACCUUUUGAACAACCAGUGGGCUACAGAUGAAAUUAAAGAAGAAAUAAAGCAAUACCUACAAUUCAAUGAAAAUGCAGAAAAAACAUACUGUAACUUGUGGGAUGCAAUGAAAGCGAUCUUAAAAGGGAAACAUAAAUUGUCAUAUCAAGAAAACAGAAUGAGCACAAAUAAACAACCUAAUGCUUCACCUCAUGCUUCUAGAAAAAGAAGAGCAAGUUAAACCCAAAGCUCAUAGAUGAGAGGAAAUUAUAAAGAUCAGAUCACAAAUCAAUGCAAUUAAAACUAAAAAAACCCCCAAAGAAUUAAUGAAUCAAAAAGCUGGCUUUUUGAAAGAAUAAACAAAAUUGACAAACCUCUAGCUAAUGUCAUAAAUAAAAAGAAAGAAAAAACCUAAAUACAUGCAAUAAGGACUGAAAAGGGGGAAAUUACUACAGAUCCCACGGAAAUUCAAAAGAUCAUGAAUAUCUACUUUGAAAAUGUCUACUCACAUAGAGUGGAAAAAACAGAGGAAAUGCACAGAUUUCUAGAAACACAUGAAAUACUAAAGCUAAACCAAGAAGAUAUAGCAAUUUUAAAUCACCCAGUAUCAGCUAUGAAAUUGAAAAUGUAAUUAAAAACUUAGCAACAAAGAAAAGCCCAGGUCCUGAUGGAUUCAUGGCUGAAUUCUACAAGAAAUUUAGAGAAGAUUUGAUGCCAAUACUCCUUAAACUCUUCAAUGAAACUGAAAAGGAAGCAAUCCUCCCUAAAUCAUUCCUUAAGGCAAGUAUUACUCUCUACCAAAACCAGAGAAAGAUCCCACCAAAAAGGAGAACCAUAUACCAAUCUCACUAAUGAAUAUUGGUGCAAAGAUUCUCAAUAACAUACUGUCAAAUAGAAUACAGCAAAUCAUCAAGAAGAUUAUACAUCAUGACCAAGUAGGAUUCAUUCUAGGAAUGCAGGAAUGGUUUAACAUAUGCAAAUCAAUAAAUAUAAUACAAUAUAAUACAUCGACAGAGACCAAAACAACAACCACAUGGUCAUCUCAAUAGAUGCAGAAAAAGCUUUUGAUAAAGUCCAACACAAGUUCAUGAUAAAAACCCUUCAGAAACUCAGAAUACACGCUGUCUACCUCAAUCAUAUAAAGGCCAUCUAUGACAAACCGACUGCCAACAUGAUACUAAAUGGACAAAAACUGAAAGCUUUCACACUAAAAUCAGGAACAAGACAAGGACGUCCUCUAUCACCAUUCCUAUUCAAUAUAGCUCUUGAAACACCAGCCAGGGUAAUCAGACAAGAGAGAGAAAUAAAAGGAAAAGAAGAAGUUAAACUAUCACUAUUUGCAGAUGACAUGAUACUCUAUAUAGGAAGACCCAAAAAAACUCCAUUUAAAAGACUACUAGAGGUAAUAAACAAAUUCAGCAGUGUAGCUGGAUACAAAGUCAAUGCUUAAAUAUCAAUAGUAUUGCUGUACACAAACAAAAAACUCACUGAGAGAAAUUAUGGAAAUAUCGUCUUUCACAAUAUCAUCUAAAAAAAUCAAAUACUUAGGAAUUAACCUAACCAAGAGUGUAAAGUCCUAUAUGCUGAAAAUUAUGCUAUGCUAAAAAAGGAGACUGAAGAGAAUAUUAGCAAAUGGAAGGUUAUUCCUUGCUCAUGGCUAGGAAGAACCAACAUUGUGAAAAUGGCCAUACUCCCAAAACUGUUACACAGAUUUAACACAACCCCAAUCAAAAUACCAUUAACAUACUUCACAGAUCUAGAGAAAACACUCCUAAAAUUCAUUUGGAAACAGAAAAAGCCUAGAAUAGCAAAGGCAAUUCUGGGCAAAAAGGCAAGCCAAGAGGCAUCUCAAUUCCUGAGUUGAAACUAUACUACAAAGCCACAGUAAUAAAAUCAGCAUGGUACUGGCAAAGAAAUAGAUCUGAGGAUCAAUGGAACAGAUUAGAAGAUGUAAACACAACUACAAAGACACUCAGCCACCUGAUAUUUGACAAAGGGGCUAAACAUGUUCACUGGAAGGAUAGGCUCUUUAAUAAAUGGUGCUGGAAAAAUUUGCUCUCCACAUGCCGAAGACUGAAACUAGAUCCAUGCCUAUUACCAUGCACAAAGCUAAAGUCUAAAUGGAUCAAAGAUCUAAAUAUUAAAAUGAAACACUAAAUCUACUGGAAGACAAGGUAGAUAAAAGUCUUGGAGACUUAGAGGUAGGCAGAGAAUUCAUGAAUAAAAUGCAAACUGCAUAGUAAACACUUCAAAGAAUCAACAACUAGGAUCUCUUAUUAUUAAAAAGUUUCUUCCCUUCAGAAGAAAUCACCAACAGAGUGAAAAGAAAACCCACAGAUGGGAAAGAAUUAUAGCCAGCAACCCCUCAGACAAAGGACUUAUAUCCAGAGCAUAUAAAGAAUUGAAAAAUAUCAAGCCCUCUAAAUUCAAAGACCUUCUCUAAAAAUGGGCAUCUGAGAUGAACACAUUUCUCAGAUGAAGAUAUACAAAUGGUAAAUAAAUACAUGAAGAAAUGCUCACCAUCACUGGUCAUUUGAGAAAUGCAAAUUAAAAACAGCAUUAAGAUUUCAUCUCACUCCGGAAAGAAUAGCUGCCAUGAACAAAUCAACUGAUAACAAAUGUUGGCGAGGCUGCGGGGGAAAAAGGAACACUGCUCCACUGUUGGUGGGGUGUAGACUGGUGCAGCCACUAUGGAAAUCACUAUGGAGAUCUCUCAGAAGACUAGAAUUGGAAGUUCCAGUCAACCCACUAUUCCCCUCCUGGGUAUUUUCCCAGAAAACCUGACAAGGUCAUACCACAGUGAUGUAUGUGCACCCCUGUUCAUAGCAGCACAAUUUGUAAGAGCUAAAUCUUGGAAACAACCAAGAUGCCCAUCAACAGCAGAGUGGAUGAGUAAGAUGUGGUAUUUUUAUACAAUGGAAUAUUACUUAGCUAUAUUAAAGGAUGAUCUUCAUAAGCAAAUGGAGACAACUUGAGACUAUCCUGAUAAGUGAAAUAAAUAAGAAUCAUAUUUAUAAAUAUCACACUGUGUAGUAUAAAAAGUAAUAAGAAAUGUAAGAGUAAUAUAACCCAAAAUGUGUAAUUGCUAUUGUGAAAAAGACAGGAAAAGAAAGUGCUCUAAAGGAUAUAACUGCAUGUAUGUUUAAGUGUGUAGGAUUGAUAACCAUAUUAGCAGGUUUUUUUGGAUAGUUGAACAGAGGUGGUUGUAGUCUCGAUGUUUGAAUGUCCACUUUAUGUGAUUUACUUUUGUAACUUAAACAUCUAUUUCUUUUCUUUCUUUCUUUCUUUUUUUUUUUUUUUUUUUUUGGUACUGGGGAUCAAACUCACGACCUCACGCUUGCCAGGCAAGCGCUUACACCACUGAGCUAAAUCCCCAGCCCUUGAACAUCUAUUUCUAAGAGGACAAUAUGUAAUUUAUCAACUAGUGAUUUCUUACUGUUUAUUUUUUUUUAAAUUACGUAUUACUUCUACCCUUUUUCUGUUUUCUUUUUCUUUUUCUUUUCCUCUUUAAAUAAAAAAAAAAAGACAGAGCCAACACCUGGGUGGACUCUUUUUGGUUUAUUUCUUAGAGUGUGGACCUAACAAGGACGUCCUAUAAACCUUUGAGGGAAUUCAUUUUUCAAGGCGAUUCCACGAGCUCAGGACAUCAAAGAACCACCUCUCCUCGGAACAUGGACUUGCCGGCUGGUGUUCCUCUCAGUUUUCUUUAGUGAGUUUCCUUCCAUGGGAAAAAAAAAAUAAACGCGAUGCUGAUGUUCAGA